UGGGAUCACAGGUCCCAUGGAUGUGGCGAAAGCUGAACAAAAAG
This 44-nucleotide non-coding RNA is filed under the name unclassified sequences. The record is from RNAcentral.